UGUCUUGGUGCAUAUGCUCUCAGUGUACAUAAAAGAAAAGAUACCUUCAUCAAGGCACUACACACUUAAUGAUAGUCAUAGGGUACAAAUAAGCAAUUAGGAAACAAUAUCAAUAUAAAUCGUAAGGAUACAAGCAAGAAAGUACAGUCAUGGUUGUUCUUCAAAGCCUCUCCCCCUAAUUGAAGUCCCAGCGAUGCAGAAAGAACCCCUCCAAGAUCUAAUGUUACUUUUUGCAUGUCCAGGUGGAAUAGGAAGCAGCUGUUCUUCAGUGAAUGGAAUGACCUCAGAAAGUACGUAAUGAUGCCCUCUGCUGGUUAUAGAAGAUUAAAACCUCAGCCAGAGAGCUUAGCAGCGGAGUGGGUGAGAAUGUAUAAAGCAGAAAACAGAGCUCGGAAGUGAAAUUAAGCAACCUUCAAGGAGGUUUGUCAAUAAAACUGGGCAAGGCUUGAAAAUUGUAAUUGCAUACUAGGGAGGACUAUCUCAUUCAUGGCAGACCUUGAAUUAACUGUCAGCUGUGUACAUGUAACUAGUUCAAGAUGUUGAAACAGAAGCUGUUGGGAGGGAGGAAAAACAAACAGGAACUGAGACUUUUCCAAGUUGUUUGAUAUCCUUACCGCAAGGAAAAAGAGGUUUGUAGUAGUUUUGCAUAGGCUGGCAAGUCGAAAACCCUCCGUCGCCCAUGUUCCAUGACAACUAAAGAGAAGAAAGGGAAAUGUACCAUGUUUGAUUGUUUGGACAUUGAACAUUCGUAAAUUCACAGAGGGAGAAAGAAAUCAAGAAGGAAAGAAGGAAGGAAGGAAGGAAGGAAGGAAGGAAGGAAGGAAGGAAGGAAGGAAGGAAGGAAGGAAGGAAAGAAAGAAAGAAAGAAAGAAAGAAAGAAAAAGAAAGAAAGAUGAAUUUGAGAGGAUGACACGUGGACUGUGCUGCCCACUUAUAUUUUUUGCUGAUCAUGGCUCAGCUGCUUCAAAAGCUUUGAUAAUGAGGGGAUGCAACAGCAUAAUUGUUAGGGCUGUGCUGAGCACACUUUUAAAAUGAUCAGAAAGAAAGAAUUUGGAAUUUGUACAACCUACUGAUUAAAGCAGCUCAUCUUUUUUCCAGCUUCUAUGCCAGCAGUUGACUCAUUAAAGUUAGUGCAUCUGCAAUGUUUUCUCGACUGAAGAUUGACAAAAGAUGUGUCUGAACAGACUGUAAUCCAGCCGUUUCCUGUGUGUAUUUGUGAGGAAGAAUGAGUAGAUUUGUUUCAGGAGGAAGACUUGGAGAUCUUUCAAAUGCAAUGAAGAAAGAUUGGGAUGAACAGCUGUUUUGACUAAGCUGCAUGUAACUGGAACACCACUUCCUUGUGAAUCAAAACGUGGGAGCACCUCCUGGAGAAGUGCAGAAUUUUUUUGUGUCCCAGAGCGGUUGAUGAACUACAUCUCCCAGCAUCCCUCUCAAUUAAUCAUUCUAAAUGAGGCUGUUGGGAAUAGCAUUUUAAUGAUAUCUGAAAGGCUACAAGUUUCCUACUUUGGUUCCGCACCUAAUGCAGAAGAGAGGAUAGAAACAGGUUUGUUUGUGGAGAGUGGGAGGGUGAGAAAAAAGUCAAGAUGGCAGCUGUGACUGCAUGUUUGUAGCCCUGCUCUUUUUCAGAUGUAACAACAACAACAAUGUCGUGUCCCACUCCUCCGCUGACGGCCGGCUCAGGGAAAUCUGAAUCAGGCUUGCCUCUGCAGCUCUGCCCAAAGUCCUAGCAAAGUCCUCAGAGCAGACAGGAGACCAGUAAGUGACUUCAGCAAGAUAAGUUCGACUUUGCCUGACUCAGAGACUGCCAGAAAGCAGAUCCUUUAUAUAGGCCAUGGGGUGUGGCUCCAUGACUCAGCACUCAUUAAGGCCUGCCCCUCCCUUCCUUCUGUUGCCUCCGCCUAUCCAGUCUUCUGAUGUGAGGGUCACUCCAAUCAGCAGCUGUUGGAAAUAAACUUUCCUCAGGCUCACAUGCUGUGGAGGAAGGGGAGGGGUCUAGCUGCUCCGUUUGCCUGGGAAUGGAGCCAGGGCUGGGGCCGGGGGAUGCUCCCUCCUCUGCAGCCUCCUUGGGCAUGGAGCUAGGACUGGGACCGGGAGGUGCCCCCUCCUCUUCAGCUUGUCUGGGCAUGGAGCCAGGACUGGGGCCGGGAGGCAUACAUUCCUCCGUGUUCGGGAGCAGAUAAGAAGGCCCCGGCUGCUGUGAGAGCGGGCAAGACACAACAAACAAUAAUAAUUGUGAAGAUUAUUAUUGUGAAGAUGGUGAAGAUCUUGUGGGACUUUUGAAUACAGAUGGAUCAUCAUUUGGAACACAAAAUGCCACGGUUGUUGAGGGCCGAAGUGUACAGUUUAUUGAUAUCGCUGUACCAGGAGAUGCCAGAGUCAAAGAAAAAGAACUGGAAAAAAUCACGAAAUAUCACGACCUGGCCAUCGAAACUACAUGGUUACGGAUGAAACAUGUAACCGUGAUACCCAUUGUCACUGGGGCUCUUGGUACCAUGUCCAAGAAUUUUACAGAACACAUCAAGAAAUUGCAGCUUCCUGCAAUAACACCAGCGGAACUGUAAAAAACUGCGCUACUCGGAACAUCAUAUAUUUUAAGAAGAUAUUUGGCUGAUACCUAGGACGCUGGCAGCAACCCGUAUCAACCAUUAGUAUCAGUCGAUCGUAUUUGUGACACAUUUUUAAAUGUUCAGUUGACUGAGUUUCAUGUUUAAUGAAAAAAAGAGAUAAUAAUAAAAUGGUGGGAUACCCACGGACAAGAAUUUUCUCUUUUAUACUUAAGCAGAAUAACAGAGUUGGAAGGGCCCUUGGAUGUGUUCUAGUCCAACCCCCUGCAUAAGCAGGAGACCCUAUUCUACUCCAGAUGAAUGGAUGUCCAGCCUCUUCUUAAAAGCCCCAGAGCAUCCCCAAACCCUGAAGGCAAGCUGUUCCACUGGUAAAUUGUUUUCACUGUUAAGAAGUUUCUCCUUAGUUCUAAGGAGUUCUUAGUUCUCUUACUUCUCUCUUUGAUUAGUUUCCAUCUAUUGUUUCUUGUCUUGCCUUCUGGUGCUUUGGGAAAAUAAGUUGUCCCCCUUUUCUUUGUGACAGCCCCUCAAAUACUGGAAGACUGCUAUCGUGUCACCCCUAGUCCUUCUUUUCACUAGACUUGUUGUUGUUAUUGUUAGUCCGACCCAUUGCAACCCCAUGGACAACAUUCCUCCAGGCCUUCCUAUCCUCUACCAUCCUCUGGAGUCCAUUUAAGCUCACGCCAACUGCUUCAGUGACUCCAUCCAGCCACCUUGUUCUCUGUUGUCCCGUUCUUCUUUUGCCCUCAAUCUUUCCCAGCAUUAAGCUCUUCUCCAGUACAAACCCAUGAUAGCUACAUAGAUAUAGAUAUAGGGGCUUGUGAUUCUUUUCUUAGAUCUAGGACUACCAUACCUGAGCUACAUGUUUCUGAGUUAUAUAAGACUUUUCUGAAUCUCUUCUUUGCUCGUUUGUGGAUUUUGUCUCUCAGAUCUGGUACUUAUUUCAAGCAACUUAUUACAGGGGAAAAACACACCAUCAAAAAAAAAAAAGGUGGUACAGCAUUUCCUGUUUUUUGCACUUAAACUGAGUAGUCUGCAAAGAGCUAGUAGUCACUAAAGGAGACACCGUGGAAAGGGAGGAGUUGUAGUUUCCCCAAAUUCUCUGUUUAAAUGUUUUCUUUACAAAUGGAUAGAUGAGAAAAUAAACUAUAUGCAAUGUAUUUUCUCAAAAAAGCAGGUGUGGAUAAGGGUGUGUUUGGGGGUGGCUGAGGUCAUGUACUUCUAAGCCACGAUUUAGAAACCAGAGGAGCUAGGUUCAUGCUACGUGAUAAGGUAAAACAAGCACGUCUCAUUUUAGUGAAUUGCGUGAAGAGAAACCGAGAGAUUUCCAAGUCAGACCCUUCACUUAACCUGCUUUUCUUCUUCUUCUUUCCUAAUUAUAUAUUCAAGCACACAAAUGUGCACAUACACUGAAAGGAUUUGAUUGCAGAAGUCCCUGGAAAUGACCCAGACUCAAUGUAGACCGAAAUGUAUGUAUUACUAAGUGUAGCUUACUAAAAGCCCUAAACUGAAGCAAUCUAGAAUAUUUUUUAAAAAUAUUUUAAAAAUAUUUUAAGUAUAAAAUAUUUUUUUAUAUUUAUAUAAAAAACCUAUACUAGGGAUUCAAACCGCCGAACUGCUGAGCUUCCUGAUCGACAAAUUCAGCGUCUUAGCCACUGAGCCACAUAGCCAGGCAUAAUAGUUUAAUACAGUGGUUCUCAACCUUUACAGUGCUGCGACCCCUUUAAUACAAUUCCCCAUGAUGUGGUGACCCCCAACCGCAGAAGGGAAAUAAAAGUGGCAAACUGUUUUUUUGAAUUUAUCGUGCCUGAAGCCGUAUUGGCUAGCGAUCUGAACUGCUUGCAAUUGCCUUGAGGAUGGAGGAAUUAAAGCGGAGACUCCUCCCCUAUUAAGUUUAUCGCGCCUGAAGCCAGAUUAGGCUAGCGAUUGGGAGUGAUUGCAGCUGGCUUGAGAGGGAGACAUCAGAGCAAAGAUUUCUCUCUUUUUUAAUUCAUCGCGCCUGAAGCCGAAUUCGGCUAGCGAUUUGAAGAGCCUGCAGCUGGCUUGUGGAGUCAACCAUUGGAGCUCGAUUCUUCAACUCACAAGUAUACUUCCCAUAUUUCCAAUGGUCUUAGGCGACCCCUGGCAAAUCGUCAUUCGCCCCCCCAAUGGGGUUGCGACCCACAGGUUGAGAA
Long non-coding RNA from Ahaetulla prasina, 4735 nucleotides. RefSeq lists it as uncharacterized. The record is from RefSeq and is a predicted model, not a curated record. The transcript has 3 exons. Lineage: Eukaryota; Metazoa; Chordata; Lepidosauria; Squamata; Colubridae.